UAAACUCAAGUGAUCUACCCACCUCAGCCUCCCAAAAUGCUGGGAUUACAGGUGUGAGGCACUGCACCUGGCCCCAGAUUUUUGAUACUCUUAAACCUUCUGAUCCUUAGUUUCUUUCUCCAAAAUACUCUUUCUAGGUUUAAAAAAAAAAAAAAAAAAAAAAGCUCUUUUUUUUGGUGCUAUGUAAGUGAAUAUGUAAGUGAAAAUGUAAGCGCUAUAUAAGUGAAAAUGUUUUUUAGGUUUUCUUGAUUUAAUAAUAGAGACAGGGUCUCCCUAUGUUGCCCAGGCUGAUCUCGAACUCCUGGGCUCAAGAGAUCCUCCUGUGUCAGCCUCCCAAAGUGCUAAGUAAGAUUACAGUCGUGAGCCACCACACCCAGCUGUAAAAAUGUACUUAUUUUCCAGCCUCUUUUGUAUAAACUGUAGUAAGGGAUGGGAGUAUUGAUGUUAUCUGAAAAUAGCCACCAUUUACCCAUAAGAUAAAACUUGUUAAAGCAUCCUGAGUCUAACUUAGUGCAUCAGGCCCUUUUUCACACAAAAAAAUCCUUUUUGGGAUUUAAUGGAAUCUGUUGUUUCCCCCUAAGUUGAAAAACAACUCUAAGACACUUUAAAGCAACUUCUUGGCCUGGGUUACAUAGUUCCCAGACUAGGUUUCAGCCUUCUGCUUAAGGCCAGUUUUAGAAACCCGUGAAUUCAGAAAAGUUAAUUCAGAAAUUUGAUAAACAGAAUUGUUAUUUAAAAACUAACUGGAAAGAUUAUAAGUUCUUUCCGAAUUACUCAGAAAUGAUGCAUCAUUUUCCUUCAAGAAUGACAGGGUCAGAAUGUGGAAUCCAAGAUACCUCUUGACUUCCUCUCAAGCUCUGUGUUUGCUCAGUGGAGGCCCAUCCCAGCUCAGCAUGUGUACUGAGAAGUGUUGGUUUCUUUGGGCCCCAUCUACCCUGACCACAUUAUGAUGUUCAUCUGCAGCAGUUGCAAGGUGUUCAGAGUGUGUAAAUACAAAUGGCAUAAACACUUUAAAAGUGCAAUCCUCAAAAGGUUAGGUGGACUCAAGCAUUCUGUAAAGCAACUAUUAAUAAUGAGCUUACAGUGGAUAAUUCAUUUGAAUUUGAAAAAUACAGAAACGAGCCUGUCAUACACCAGCAAGAGCUAUGGAAUAAAACUACUGAUGGAAUUAAGACAGUUGAAAAGAUCAAAUGCCAAGCUAAAUGUAUAAUGAACAAAUUGAAGAAAAAUAAAGGACUACAGAAAGUUCAGGACAUCAAAGAAAUUAGACAAAACUCAUCUUGACCCCUCUUGCAGGCAAAGGAAAGCAGCUGGAAGAAAAGAUGAUACAGCAGUUAAAACAGGAUGCAGACGUGGCAGAGGUUUCUUAAAAAAUCUCAUUGUCUAUAACCAUUUCUGUAUUUACAUUUGUGAAAAUCUCCUUUGGAGACUUAGAACCUCUAAAUUAUUGACUUAUUUUUUAUAUAAGGUCACUCAAAGGUGAUUAAAAAAUCAUCUACAUUGCUGUCUACAGAAUGUCAGAUAAUAUGGAUGUUUGAUUGCAUCUCAUUGUUAACUCUUUACUGAUAGAUAUGUUUGUAAAUACAGAAGUGAAACGUGGACGUAAAAUAGUUACACUAUUUGGUUAAUGGUACUAGGCAACAUUUAUGUAAUGACAUUCAAAAAUUUGUGGCUAGUGAUAUAUAUAAAGUAAAAUUUUCUUUGCAGUAAAAUAUGCCCUUUAUUAUAGAAGGGAGGAUAUAAGGAGCCAACAGUUUGUAUGAAAAUAGCUCAAAUAAUAUCUUUUUAUUAUUUCUUAUUUUGGUUUAUUAGCAUCUUAGAACAAAAUGGCCUUAUAUAAUGAAGCCUAGUUAUGCUGGACUGUUUCGACCUCUUUUAAUUGUUCUGACAGAUAGCUGGGGAUGAGAGCCAAAUAACAUUUGCCUGAAAUGACUGAUACUAUGUACUUUCUGCUUGCACAAAUACUCAGUUCUAACUUGUGAUUCCUGGUAGAACAAGCUUUAUUUUUCAAGCCUAGCACUGAUCUGGAAGCAGAUGUUAUCUCGGUGCCUUUUACAAUUUGUUGUAUGUGUGUUUUUUUUUUUUUAAAAAGGCCGCACAAUAAUUUUGGAAUACAUAUAUGGGUAGAACAUCUGUCUGUUAUUUGCACACAAAACCACUUUUAAUGGGUACAAAGUUAAAUGAGGAAUACAUUCUAGCUGAAGUAUUAUCAACUCCAAAUAACGCUUUGAGGACCUCCAAAGGUAAAA
This is an RNA transcript of Cercocebus atys (sooty mangabey), 2249 nucleotides long. It is a transcript of the gene named probable ribosome biogenesis protein RLP24 pseudogene, with no coding region annotated. The transcript has a single exon. The record is from RefSeq and is a predicted model, not a curated record. Lineage: Eukaryota; Metazoa; Chordata; Mammalia; Primates; Cercopithecidae.